Long non-coding RNA from Pteropus alecto (black flying fox), 2332 nucleotides. RefSeq lists it as uncharacterized. The record is from RefSeq and is a predicted model, not a curated record. NCBI's taxonomy places the organism in Eukaryota, Metazoa, Chordata, Mammalia, Chiroptera, Pteropodidae. The transcript has 3 exons.
UGCACACCAGCGCCUCAGCCCAGGUCAGGGGCGGCCCAGCGAUUGCCAGGGGGCUCCAGUUAGCCAGCUCCACCCGAGGUCCCUGUGGGUCCCAGGACGGGAGGUCCCCGCUGUCCUGGGGAGGGCCCCGGGAGGACUGCACUGGGGACACUGCCCGUGUCUGGUCCUCGAGCACCCUCUAGAGGACAGCCUGGGAAAAGCGAACUCGCCUCCCCAGGGCAGAGAAGACCCUGGUCGACUCCUAGCUCCUCAGGGUCGGUGGCCCAGGUGUCAGCAGCAGAGGGGACCUAAAGACCCCCCGCUGCCUGGCAGACGGGUCCCCAGCCAGACAGCCCAUCGGCGAGCCCCUGCCAGCUGCCCAGCUCCCCCCAGGCCGGCCUGUCCUUCCUGCAUCCGGGGCGGGGGCCUGAGUGCCCGUCCACCGCCCCGCCGGAACCUGCCCAGUGCCCGGCACUCCAGAACACCUCCCGAACAAAUGGGGUGUUUGCGAUGAGCGUGACAAGUUCUGGACACCAAUGAAUAUUUACAGACACUCCUCAACAGAGGAGCAAGUUUGGGGUUAAUCUGGAAGGUGGUGGGAGCCACUGAAGCUUCUAGAAGCACCACCGCGGAUGCUGCGAGACCUUUGCAUGGCUUCCACCCUGGAGCCCUCUGCCCCGUGCCAGUGUUAUGUUGUGAAUUCCCACCGUGAGCGCGUUUUGCCCGUGGAGGACGUUCCUGGCCCUUGGCGGGUUGCCUGGCAGGCUCUCUCGUGGAGCUCUCCGCCUGCGUUUCAGACCCCACGUCGCUGAGAUGACCUGGUCAGCAUCCGCUUCCCCACCAGACAGGCAGCGCUGUGAGGACAGGGUGUGCUGCCUGCCACGGCACACCCAGUGCCCAGGCGCUCGCUGGGCACGGCCGGGGAGCGGCUCUGCUCGGGCAGCUCCCUGCUGACCUCUGCUCGUCUCUGGCGCUGAACUUGCCGCGUUCCCCCGAGGCGCCCGCCCACCCAGGCCCUGAACCUGGCACAGGCCGGCCACUCCUCGCCUGGUCAUCCUCUCUUGCCGUGGUGCUGUGGCCCUUCUGAGGGGUCCCCUGCUGGAGUUGGGGACCCCUUCUGCUCCGCGUGCUGCGGUGACCCCCAGCGGCCCCCACAGUGACCUGCUCCUCCUGGUAGCCAUGCCUUCGUGAGCCCCACGCCGCACCGAUGGGUCUGUGGGACCAACAGAACACGCAUCUGCGAUGGCACGUCACUGUUGAAACUCGGUCCCAAAGGCCCUGGGCUUCUGCCUCUCUCAACUGUACUGCCGUGUGUGGCUCAGUGGAGGGGCCCUUAUGGGAGCACCGAGGCCCCAGCCAGCCACCUACACCAACACGCCAGGCCUGAGGGCCCUUCUUGGAAAGGGGACCUUCCAGCCCCAGCUGAGCCUUCGGAUGACGCAGCCCCAACCAACACCCUCGGAGACCCUGAGCUGGAACCACCCAGCCUGCAGCACCCCUCGAGAGUUUGGGAGCAGAGCCGAGUCUCCCCUGCUUCUUCCGAGGGGCUGCAGCAAAAUCCCCUGGAAGAGACCCCCACUCAGUCAUCCGAGUCGGACGUGGCUGCCAGUUCAAGGGGCUUCUCACGGGACCUGGACCGUGGCAGAUGCUCCGUCAAUGCCGGCUGAGUGAGCGAUGUCACAAUACAAAUCACCGUUUCGUUUCCGAUAUCUGUGAAUGGCACCAUAUUAUUGCUCUGGAGCGCAGGUGUUUCUGAGGAUUUGCUGGCGAGGGCCGCUGGAGCUGAUGAUGUAACUGCUGGCGUCCAGGGGUGCCCCAAGCACAGACUGAAGUCCCCUCGCCCCGUUUUUUUUGCCUGCUGCAAGACUUCACACAGGCCUCCGGGGGGCACCUUCCGACCUGGGUUCAAAUCCUGCCUCACUCCACGUGGGACACGCGGUGAGAUUCUGGGUGAGUUGGUUACCUCCGUGUCCCCACACACGGGAAUAAACAUUAGGACCUAAUUCAUGGGAUUGUCCUGAGAAGUAACUGAGUUAGCCCGAGAAGGAGUCUUAGAACACUGCUGCCUGCGUUUGCUGCUGGCGCUGUCACUACGGCCGGUUUAAGGACAUUUUUGGCUAAAGACCAGAGAAGCCUUCCUUUUCACCGCUGGGCCCCAAAUUAAUUAAUCAGUUAUUUUUAGAAGUGAGUCAAGUAAACGUUUCAGAACUCUCAGAAACCAAAAUUCAUUAGAAAGGCUUUCUAACUAACCAACAUUCUCCAUUUUCUAUUCAAUUAAAUAAGUGGACACCUAGGGCUGUUCGCUCCACCAAGCGUUUCUAAAGUUUCUUUCUGUCAUGCUUCAAAAGCUCCU